RNAcentral lists this ribosomal RNA (450 nucleotides) under uncultured bacterium. RNAcentral describes it as "bacterial SSU rRNA". It matches the Rfam family "Bacterial small subunit ribosomal RNA", at positions 355 to 825 of the family's 1533-position model. The record is from RNAcentral.
UCGAGAAUAUUCGACAAUGGGCGAAAGCCUGAUCGAGCGACGCCGCGUGCAGGAUGAAGGCCCUCGGGUUGUAAACUGCGGUAGUAGGGGAGGAACGCAAGUGACUGUACCCUACGGAAAGUGGUUGGUAACUACGUGCCAGCACCAGCGGUAAUACGUAGACCACAAGCGUUAUCCGGAUUUAUUGGGCGUAAAGAGCAUGUAGGAGGUCCGGUGCGUCUCUGGUUAAAGCCCACCGCCUAACGGUGGAAGUGCCAGAGAUACGAUCGGACUGGAGGAUGUGAGAGGUGCAUGGAACUCACGGUGUAGGGGUGAAAUCCGUUGAUAUCGUGGGGAACACCAAAGGCGAAGGCAGCGCACUGGCCAAAAUCUGACGCUCACACACGAAAGCUAGGGUAGCGAAGAGGAUUAGAUACCCCUGUAGUCCCUGAGCGGGCUGGCAAGGCGCAU